RNAcentral lists this ribosomal RNA (253 nucleotides) under uncultured bacterium. Its description in RNAcentral is "partial 16S ribosomal RNA". It matches the Rfam family "Bacterial small subunit ribosomal RNA", at positions 524 to 776 of the family's 1533-position model. The record is from RNAcentral.
UACGAAGGGGGCUAGCGUUGCUCGGAAUCACUGGGCGUAAAGCGCACGUAGGCGGAUUGCUAAGUCAGGGGUGAAAUCCUGGAGCUCAACUCCAGAACUGCCUUUGAUACUGGCAACCUUGAGUCCGGGAGAGGUGAGUGGAACUGCGAGUGUAGAGGUGAAAUUCGUAGAUAUUCGCAAGAACACGAGUGGCGAAGGCGGCUCACUGGCCCGGUACUGACGCUGAGGUGCGAAAGCGUGGGGAGCAAACAGG